Molecule: long non-coding RNA, 1387 nt
Organism: Ochotona curzoniae (black-lipped pika)
Lineage: Eukaryota; Metazoa; Chordata; Mammalia; Lagomorpha; Ochotonidae
Exons: 2
Source: RefSeq, a predicted model, not a curated record
UACAGCCUGGCACAUGAGGCAUGUGCCGACCUGGCAUUGAUCUUGCAGGUUUAGGGGAAGUGGACAUGCAGAUGGGAAUGUGUGGAGCUGAUAGAGAGGAAAGAAUUCGUUGUUUCUGCUUCCUGAGUGUGUUGAACGCACUACUGUGAGUCAGGAGGCUGCAAGGUCAAAGGCCAAAGCAUGAGCAGGAGUCUCAGUGGGGGGCUUCCUUGGGAAAGGCGUGGCUGGAGGCGUGACUUGGGAUUAGUUGCUGGUUAAAGGGAUGCAGGGGUAUUCUCCAGUAUGUGGUCCUAGCAUGAUUUAGGGCAGGGCAGCGCAGAGUGGCUUGGUGAGUGAGUUGAUAGAGGGGGUAGAUGCCUUGCUCCCCACUAAGUUGUUACCAUCUCUGGGAAUCAGACAGCCCUGGGAGAGGCAGUCCCUCUUGGUGCUGCACAUCCCUCCAAGAUGUUGAAACAGAGUAGGAAAUACCCAUCGAGGCAGCACAGUGGGCACACAGGCCACCUGGACGUGACUGGCUCCAAGGGUGCUGACUUAGGUAACACCCGGACUUCUCAUGCACCAUAAGGUGAGGAACAGACCCCUCAGGGCCACAUCUUUAAAGCCUGCCUCUCCUGGUAUCAGUUCACAGCAGGGUAGCCAGAGCAGAAUCAAUUGUCCAGGGACCUUCUGCUAGCACCACCACUGUUCAUCUCUCAUUCCGCCCAGGAAAGGUCUUAGGCAGCUGGUCGACCCUCAGGUCCCCCCAAACUGUGAGUCCAGACCUGAAUUUCAUAGAUUUCUGCUCCUGCUCAUGUUGAAUGGAGGCUUGAGUGUCGCCAUUGUCCCAGAGGACCCAUGACCACCCCCAGAACCAGCCUCACCACUCCAGCUUUGAGAUGUUCCAGAGAAUUCCAUCUCUUGCGUCACACCCGUGUGAAGUACGCAGGCAUGACUGCUCUCAUCUCUCAGCUCAGGAACACUGCAAACUAGUGGUGUGACCUUCAGGAACCUUCCUUUGUUGGGAAAGGAAAGGUGGGGGUCGGUGACCCGGUGACCCGUGAGACUGCUCCCGCCCCGUGCUGCUCUGGCGCAGUAGGCAGCUUGCUCCCCCUGCACAAAGCCUCACCCCUACAGCCAGUGCUCAUCCCUCUGAGUCUCUUGAUUUCCUUGAGUCUUUCAGUCUCAUUAGGGGAGACAUCACUGCCUUAGUACAAUGAUGAUAUGGUGCCCGCAACUUAAUUUCUGGGGACAGCACAUUGUGCUACUAUAGGCUCAGUGCUAAUAAUCAAAAUUAUAUGUUCUGCUUACUGUGACUUUUUUGUGGUUUCUGGGGGAAAAUGCAGAUGCAUUUCAAUUAUUCUAAGGGAAUUUUGAUUAACCCCCUGGGUAGAGUUCUUUAUGCCGCCUG